UCUGAUUUCCUAAUCAACCUAGGGUUUUAAUUUCUGUUUUCCUUUAAAUAAACCUCCUUGUUGCAGCCACAAAAGAUUCCACACACACCCAUUCACAUCCAUUCACGCCAGAAACCUUUCCCCUAACUUUGCGGUGCCCAAUCUUCACCCAAAUCCAUAUUUUCUGACCCCAAACCUCCCUAGCCGUGCCAUACACCCAUCUUAGACACUUUUCUACCAUUCUACCUCAUCCAAAACCAUCCCAAAUCAUCUCCAUACCUUAUGCCGCAGCAAGAAGGAAGAAGGAGUGCUCUUGAAUGUGCUUGCUAGUCUAUUGCAGAUUGCUGGAACUUUUAGGUGUAAUCUUUCUUAUGUUUUCAAUGUUUCAAUUCAAUAAACUUUGUGUUGUGAGUAUGAGGAACUAAACCCCCUUAGUUGGGGGGUGAUUCGAAACCAUGUGCAUGCUUGCAAUAUGAUUUGAUUACAUUCAGUUGUUAUUUCAUAAGUUGUGGAUUCAAUUCGUUCAUCUACUUG
Molecule: long non-coding RNA, 513 nt
Filed under: Malus domestica (apple)
Lineage: Eukaryota; Viridiplantae; Streptophyta; Magnoliopsida; Rosales; Rosaceae
Description: long non-coding RNA (MDOM_LNC013339)
Source: RNAcentral